AUGAUGCAACGCGGCCCCUACUUCCAAACGGGAAAGUACGGAAAUGUUCCGCGAUUACUUUCAUUUUCUGUUUUGCUGACUAACAGUGAGUAUAUUCUGUCGCACUUUCUUAGCAUCGUGUUACUGGCGUGUGUUACACAUUUCACGGACGAUUUCUUUCUCCGUUGCAUUUUAACGCUGAUCUUGAAACUUUCUUGCAGCAGAUUCAUCAUGACUUCCCUAAAUGUUCGCCCCGACACAAAGCAACAGGUGGAUAGCUUCUGCCAAAAGCUCAAUAAAGAGGGAGAAGACUUGGUGAAAACAUUUUUUCCACAGAAGAUUGAAGAGAUGCAGCUGAUGUUAACAACUUCCUUCAUCUGCAAAGACCUGGACACUCUGAAGGUCCUGCUGACAUCCCGAUGCCGGACCCGGCCAAAGAGGAGGCCAAACGCAAGAAGAAGGAGGAGGCGGUGGGUGAUGGCUGCUGUACUCUUAUCUCGCUCUCAAUAGGAAGCAGACGUAGAAGGUUAAAUGUAUUGUUUGCGUUUAUAACAUGUGUACAGUACCGGCUUUUCUUUAUUUUCGACACUGUUUCCAUUGUGUGAUUCUCAUUGAAGAUAUUUAACUAUUAAUGAACAAGUGGGAUUAUGUAGGAAAUAAAAAAAGGGAGCAAUAACUCAAAAUAAGUUUUAAUUAUUCAAAAUUGCCACCUUUUCUCAAUGAGCUUCAUAAGGUCGUCACCGGAAAUGGUUUUAAAUCAUGAAGCCAAUUGAGAAAAUGUCAAAAGUGCAAAGCAGUAAUCAAAGCAAAAGGCGGCUAUUUUGAAGAAUCUAUUUCACCUUUUUUUUGUUUAACCUCUAAACCCCUGCCUUAACCGAGUGCAUUUUCUGCUGUUUUGUUUUACCCAAAUCCAGAAGUCACAUUUGAAAGCUAAUACCUACAAACUUGUCGCAUUGUUGCUGCAUUUUUUUAAAGUGUUUUGUCGUGUUUUCUUCUCUUUUUUGUCACUUUUUCAUUGCUUUUUUGGUCACUGUUUUGUUAUUUUUCACUUCAUUAUGUGUUGUUGUUGCUUUUCUGGCACGUUUUGCCGUCAUUUUUAAAUCACUUUUAUUGUUGCAUUUUUAUUGCAUUAUUCUUGCUUUUGCGGCACGACUUUCUUCACUAUUGUUGACACUUUUCUUCCCCCAAGAAGCUUCUAGAUUUAGGUAAUUCCAAACUGGAGAACAUGUGCUCGAUUCAGGUUUGGGGUUAAAAGAUUAAAACAUAAUUCCAUUCGUGUUCAUUCAUAAAUUAAUGCCUUCAGUGAGAAUCUAUCAUGUAAACAGUCUUGAAAAGCGUUUAUAAACUUUUGAUGGGUACUUUACAUAAAUCGCUAUAAUGGUCAGAUAAAAGUGCCAUCCCCAAUCCUGAAAAAUAAUAGUUAUAUUCAAACCAGUGUUUUUGCUCUACUCUAAAUUGUACUGUGAAUCAUUGCAUCAUUAGGAGGCGUGACUGGCCCGGUAGCUCAGUUUAUAGAGAAGCUAGUCUAACAAACAAUCUCUGAAUGCUGCCAAUGUGCCCUUUGGCAAGACCCUCUAUCUCUUUGUUAAUGUGUUUAAGUUUGACUGUGAACUGAAUGAACAGUCAAACACUUUGAGAAGCCUGUGGAGCUUAGAACGUAUGCUUUUGUAAGAACAAGAAAAUCCAUCACUUUAAAAUGCCACUUAUGUAACGUGAUUUGUGGCGACAUGCGUCUGAGUUCACUUUGUUCCAUUGGAGAUAAUUGACUUAAUUGGGUAAUAUUCAUGAAGUGGUAAUUAGAUCGAUGAAGUGCGGAGUGGCUGAAAAGGGAAAAUAAACACUUGCGCCUGAUUAUAUUAUGAAAGUGAAAGGUGUCAUUAUAAGAAGUGGCUGUCGUUUUUUGCAUUGAGCCGCUCUCUCUCUCUCUCUCUCUCUCUCCGUUUCUGCCUGUGUUCCUGCGCCAAGGGUUUAAUUUAAUUGCGUCUCACAGAAAAAAAGAUCGUGAGCGGAGAAAAAUCUGACGUUGCCGUGGAAACCGA
Long non-coding RNA from Neogobius melanostomus (round goby), 2018 nucleotides. The record is from Ensembl. Lineage: Eukaryota; Metazoa; Chordata; Actinopteri; Gobiiformes; Gobiidae.